This 405-nucleotide ribosomal RNA is filed under the name uncultured Chloroflexota bacterium. RNAcentral describes it as "bacterial SSU rRNA". It matches the Rfam family "Bacterial small subunit ribosomal RNA", at positions 355 to 776 of the family's 1533-position model. Lineage: Bacteria; Bacillati; Chloroflexota. The record is from RNAcentral.
CAAAGAAUUUUGGGCAAUGGGCGAAAGCCUGACCCAGCGACACCGCGUGGGGGAUGAAGGCCCUAGGGUCGUAAACCCCUUUUUCGAGGGAAGAGAAAGGACGGUACCUCGAGAAUAAGCCCCGGCUAACUACGUGCCAGCAGCCGCGGUAACACGUAGGGGGCAAGCGUUACCCGGAUUUACUGGGCGUAAAGAGCGCGUAGGCGGCUGAGUAAGUCUCCUGUGAAAUCUUCCGGCUCAACUGGAAGAGGUCAGGGGAUACUGCUCGGCUUGAGGGCGGAAGAGGAAGACGGAAUUCCCGGUGUAGCGGUGAUAUGCGUAGAUAUCGGGAGGAACACCAGAGGCGAAGGCGGUCUUCUGGGCCGUGCCUGACGCUGAGGCGCGAAAGCGUGGGUAGCAAACCGG